RNAcentral lists this ribosomal RNA (1457 nucleotides) under uncultured Bordetella sp. RNAcentral describes it as "partial 16S-23S ribosomal RNA intergenic spacer". It matches the Rfam family "Bacterial small subunit ribosomal RNA". The record is from RNAcentral. Lineage: Bacteria; Pseudomonadati; Pseudomonadota; Betaproteobacteria; Burkholderiales; Alcaligenaceae.
UUCGAUUAUGGCUCAGAUUGAACGCUAUGGGAUGUUUGCCACAUGCAAGUCGAACGGCAGCACGGACUUCGGUCUGGUGGCGAGUGGCGAACGGUGAGUAAUGUAUCGGAACGUGCCUAGUAGUGGGGAUAACUACGGAAAAGGUAGCUAAUACUGCAUACGCCCUUCGGGGGAAAGCGUAAUCUUCGGCCUCGCAUUAUUAGAGCGGCCGAUAUCGGGAUUAGCUAGUUGGUGGGGUAACGGCUCACCAAGGCGACGAUCCGUAGCUGGUUUGAGACGACCAGCCACACUGGGACUUGAGACACGGCCCAGACUCUACGGGAGGCAGCAGUGGGGAAUUUUGACAAUGGGGAAACCCCGAUCCAGCCAUCCCGCGUGAUGACAUUUUUUCGGGUUGUAAAGCACUUUUGGCAGGAAGAAACGGCACGGAUAAAUACUCCCGUGCAACUGAUGGUACUCGCAGAAUAAGCACCAGUUAACUACGCGCCAGCAGCCGCGGUAAUACGUAGGGAAAAAGCGUUAGCCUGAAUCACUGGGCGCAAGCGUGCGCAGGUUCGGAAAAGAAAGAUGUGAAAUCCCAGAGCUAACUUUGGAACUGCAUUUUUAACUACCGAGCCAGGGAAGGUAAGUCAGAGGAGGGAAUUCCGCGUGUAGCAGUGAAACGCGUAGGAUAUGCGGAGGAACACCAUGGCGAAGGCAGCUCCUUGGGGAUAACACCGACGCUCAUGCACGAAAGCGUGGGGAGCAAACAGAUUAGAUACCCCGGGUAGUCCACGCCCUAAACGAUGUCAACUAGCUGUUGGGGCCUUGGCCUGGUAGCGCAGCUAACGCGUGAAGUUGACCGCCUGGGGAGUACGGUCGCAAGAUUAAAACCAAAGGAAUUGACGGGACCCGCCAGCGGUGGAUGAUGUGGAUUAAUUCGAUGCAACGCGAAAACCCUUACCUACCCUUGACAUGUCUGGAAUCCCGAAGAGAUUUGGGAGUGCUCGCAAGAGAACCGGAACACAGGUGCUGCAUGGCUGUCGUCAGCUCGUGUCGUGAGAUGCUGGGUUAAGUCCUGCAACGAGCGCAACCCCUUUGUCAUUAGUUGGCCGGAAAGGGCACCUAAUGAGACUGCCGGUGACAAACCGGAGGAAGGUGGGGAUGACGUCAAGUCCCUGGGCGGCCUCGGUGGUAGGGCUUCACGUCACAAUGGCGGGGACAGAGGCCGCCAACCUAUGAGGGGAGCUGACCGCGAAACCCGAUCGUAGUCCGGAUCGCAGUCUGCAACUCGACUGCGUGAAGUCGGAAUCGCUAGUAAUCGGCAGAUCAGCAUGUCGCGGUGGAAUACGUUCCCGGGUCUUGUACACACCUCGCCCGUCACACUAUGGGAGUGGGUUUUACCAGAAGUAGUUAGCCUCGUCCAAAAGGAGGGCGAUUACCACGGUAGGAUUCAUGACUGUGAAGUCGUAAUACAA